AUGCACUUUCUUCCCCGUCUUUCAACCCUUCUUCCUCCUAUCUUCCCCAUCGUCGACCGCACACCAUUUUCCCCCGCUCACUACUCGCCCGCCCGUGCCAUCUUACUUGGUAGCUCGCGCGUACCAUCUCCCCCUGCUCACUACUCGGCCACACGAGGAGAAGCUUCUUCGCUCGCCCGCCCGAAUCCACUUCCCUGCUGGCUCACAGACACUUACCAUAUAAUUGGAAUUAACCGAUGCAAGUUGAAGAAGAAUUGGCCGGUGCUGCCGGCUAGCGUCAAGUUUGAUCCCAUGGAUCAGGAGCUGAUCGAGCACCUUGAGGCCAAAGUGAGUGCUGACAGCGUGAGAUCUCACCCUCUCAUCGAUUUGUUCAUACCAACCAUCAACAGCGAGCACGGCAUAUGCUACACCCAUCAUGAGAAACUUCCAGGUAUCACACUGAGUGGCCUAAGCAAGCAUUUCUCCCAGCACAAUUCUAGGGCGUUCAAAAGGGGCACGUGGACGCGUCGCAAGAUACAGUCGGAGUGCGGCAUGCACGCGAUGUGGCACAAGACCGGCAAUACCUUGCCGACGAUGGUCAACGGCCAGCAGACGGGCAGCAAAAAGGUUCUGGUGCUGCACACCAACAAGAACUUCGACCAGCAAAGGACCAACUAG
This 657-nucleotide ribosomal RNA is filed under the name Triticum aestivum (bread wheat). RNAcentral's name for it is "partial small subunit ribosomal RNA". The record is from RNAcentral. Lineage: Eukaryota; Viridiplantae; Streptophyta; Magnoliopsida; Poales; Poaceae.